This is a non-coding RNA of Nomascus leucogenys (northern white-cheeked gibbon), 281 nucleotides long. It matches the Rfam family "Metazoan signal recognition particle RNA". Rfam says of the family: The signal recognition particle (SRP) is a universally conserved ribonucleoprotein. It is involved in the co-translational targeting of proteins to membranes. The record is from Rfam. NCBI's taxonomy places the organism in Eukaryota, Metazoa, Chordata, Mammalia, Primates, Hylobatidae.
GCCGGGCAUGGUAGCCUGCACCUGUAGUUCCAGCUACUUGAAAGGCUGAGGCGGGGGGGGGGGUUGCUUAAGCCCAGGAAUUCUGUGGGUGUCUGCACUAAGUUUGGCAUCAACUUGGUGACCUCCUGGGAACGGGGGACCACCAAGUUGCCUAGGAAGGGAUGAAGCAGCCCAGGCUGGAAAUGAAGCAGGUUAAAACUCCUGUGCUGAUCAGUAAUGGGAUUAUGCCUGUGACCAGCCACGCACUCCAGCCUGGGCAACAUAGCGAGAUCCUGUCUCUA